GCAAGUCGUACGAGAAAGUUUCCUUCGGGGAAUGAUUAAAGUGGCGCACGGGUGAGUAACACGUAGGUGACCUACCUUUUAGUGGGGGAUAACAGAGAGAAGUCUCUGCUAAUACGCAUAAGUAAAAUGAAUUUGGAAGUAAUUUUAGAAAGAUGGCCUCUACUUGUAAGCUAUCGCUAAGGGAAGGGCCUGCGUGCCAUUAGUUUGUUGGUGGGGUAAUGGCCUACCAAGACGACGAUGGCUAGCCGGUCUGAGAGGAUGAUC
RNAcentral lists this ribosomal RNA (264 nucleotides) under uncultured bacterium. Its description in RNAcentral is "partial 16S ribosomal RNA". It matches the Rfam family "Bacterial small subunit ribosomal RNA", at positions 57 to 305 of the family's 1533-position model. The record is from RNAcentral.